UAAAACCAGCUAGGCCACUGGCAACCCACCUUCGCUUGAAACGUUUGUGAACUCAUCAGCUUCGUUGGGCAUAGCUGGGCCGAGGUCUUGAAUCAAACAGGUCCAUCAGGAGGCCGCGUACAAGUUUUUUGUUACCAGAAAGAAUGACACUAUAAAAUCAUCAAUCCUAAUGGCCUUCCUACGUUUAUCAAAUUGAUCAGUACUAAACCUAGGCAUGCCCGUCAGAGUUUCGGUGAACUUGACAGAGUGAAAAAAAGGAGCAGGUCUGACCUUGGUAUGC
RNAcentral lists this long non-coding RNA (280 nucleotides) under Theobroma cacao (cacao). Its description in RNAcentral is "long non-coding RNA (TCAC_LNC005082)". Lineage: Eukaryota; Viridiplantae; Streptophyta; Magnoliopsida; Malvales; Malvaceae. The record is from RNAcentral.